This is a non-coding RNA of Acanthosepion pharaonis, 106 nucleotides long. The record is from the annotation of a GenBank genome assembly. NCBI's taxonomy places the organism in Eukaryota, Metazoa, Mollusca, Cephalopoda, Sepiida, Sepiidae.
UAUGGCCAUCCAUAUGUUGAAACACUAGUUCUCACAAAAUCACAGAAGUUAAGCAAUGUUGAGCUUGGUCAGUAACUUGAUGGGUGACUGCUUGGGAAUACCAAGU